GGGUUGUAGCUGGCCUUCGAGGCAUGUGCACGCCCUGCUCAUCCGCUCCUACACCUGUGCACUUACUGUGGGUUUACGAGUCGCGAAACAGGCCCGUUCAUUCGGGCUUGUGGAGCGCACUUGUUGCCUGCGUUUAUCACAAACUCUAUAAAGUAUUAGAAUGUGUAUUGCGAUGUAACGCAUCUAUAUACAACUUUCAGCAACGGAUCUCUUGGCUCUCGCAUCGAUGAAGAACGCAGCGAAAUGCGAUAAGUAAUGUGAAUUGCAGAAUUCAGUGAAUCAUCGAAUCUUUGAACGCACCUUGCGCUCCUUGGUAUUCCGAGGAGCAUGCCUGUUUGAGUGUCAUGAAAUCUUCAACUUACGAGCUUCUUGCGAGGUUUGUAGGGUUGGACUUGGAGGCUUGUCGGUCUUUAAAGGUCGGCUCCUCUUAAAUGCAUUAGCUUGGUUCCUUGCGGAUCGGGUUGUCGGUGUGAUAAUGUCUACGCCGCGACCGUGAAGCGUUUGGCAAGCUUCUAACCGUCUCGGUAUAGAGACAAGUUUUAUGACCUCUGACCUCAAAUCAGGUAGGACUACCCGCUGAACUUAAGCAUAUCAAUAAGCGGAGGAA
Molecule: ribosomal RNA, 607 nt
Filed under: Ganoderma adspersum
Lineage: Eukaryota; Fungi; Basidiomycota; Agaricomycetes; Polyporales; Polyporaceae
Description: eukaryotic LSU rRNA
Rfam family: 5.8S ribosomal RNA (bases 192-345)
Source: RNAcentral